Molecule: long non-coding RNA, 413 nt
Filed under: Aotus nancymaae (Ma's night monkey)
Lineage: Eukaryota; Metazoa; Chordata; Mammalia; Primates; Aotidae
Description: lncRNA (ENSANAG00000038580.1)
Source: RNAcentral
GGGGGACGCGCAGGGCCGAGUGUGCCCGAGCCCGGGCGCGUACACGUGUCCGUGUGUGUGUGCGGGAGUGUGCGAGGGAGAGAGGCGAGGCGAGGAGAGGAGCCUACCAUGCGCUUCCCCCGGUGCGGAUCGCGGGAGAGCCCAAUCGCGGGGCGAGCUGGACCUGGCUGUGAUCAUUUAUAAUCCUUGACUCCUCCGCUCCGCCACUUGUCAAGAUGACAGGGUGGGCAUCAGGUCAGCUGAGUCACCCGAGGAGGUGGGAGUGCAAGACACUGCCGGGAAGACGGAUUCCGCGGCAGAAGGGUGUAAUUAAGGAUUUCCACCCCCGGACGGGGAGAAGGCUGAGUGCCUUUGACGCUGCCUGUACCACUGUAGCUGCCUUCCUGCCUCUUAGUAGCCCUGGGAGUACUUGA